Long non-coding RNA from Cavia porcellus (domestic guinea pig), 225 nucleotides. It matches the Rfam family "SMAD5 antisense RNA 1 conserved region 1". NCBI's taxonomy places the organism in Eukaryota, Metazoa, Chordata, Mammalia, Rodentia, Caviidae. The record is from Rfam.
UGCAAGGAAGGUGCUUAUGCCGCUGAGCUAAAUCCCCAGCCCCCGACCCUGUUCUUCUUGAGACUCUUUUCUGUGUAGCUCUGGCUUCUGUACAAGCAUGGUGGGUAGAGGUCCUUGCGAUGAUGUUCACUGAUGCUUCUAUGCUAGGAGAUGCUCCAAACAUCAUUGCAUUCUUCCACUUCUGCAUGGGAGUUAAUUAGGGAGAAUGUUCUGAGCUAUAGUCAA